UUCGGAUCCAUUAGAAACAAAAGAACCCCUUAUCCCUCUUUUGCAGAAACCCUAGCGUCAAAAUCUCUCAGCCAAUCUCUCAGCCAAUUCCUUCUUCUUCCCUUCAAUGCACAGCGAUCUACAAGAUGAUAAAGGCGUUUGGUUUAUGAUGUGCUUUUGAAGCAGGCAACUUUAGUUAAAGAUCAAGUUAUUGAGAAGUGAAGAAGUUUGUUCAGAGUAUGCCAAGACACUCUAUUUAGGUCAGUUAGCCUAUUUUUUUGCUCCUUAAAUUUCUUACAAGAAUUUGAAUUUACUUUUUCUUAACUUUAUUUGGGUUAACUGAAUUGUUUAUAAUAUGACAUUUAAAAGAACCAUGCUAAUAGCCCAUAAGAGGCGAAAAGCUAUCUGGGCGAUUUAUGGUGAGGAUUAUGUAUCGGUAUGUCUAAAUGAUGGUUACAAAUGUGAAAAUUUUCUAGAUCGACUUGUGUUAUAGGUUGAAGCUUGAGCUUUCUUAGCAAUAACUGAUUAAAAUGAUGUUGUAUACUUUGAAGGGUCUAUCACGAUACCGUUGAGCUAUCUUUUUUUGGAUUUGUACAAAAUAUUUUGAUAGCAUGGGUAUUUAGACUGGUCAUCCUCUUCCAGCUUCUAUUAUUUCUUUUCUUGAGUGAUGAUGUUGCUUCAGUUGCACUCAUUCCAACUCCAGUUUCAGUUUCAACAAAUCCAAAGUGGCUACUGAACUCGCAUUAAAAUACAUUACACUUAGACCUUUCAGUUGGGAUCAAGAUACUGACAAAGUCAAUGUGAGGGUGUAUUUUUGUGUUAAUUGUCUACCAGUUGUAAGUUUAUAACUAUAUAUUAUUUAUUCUUGCUAGCUUUUAAAUGGAAGGAAAAUUUAUUUACCAGGUACACUUUCUUUUUGUAUCUAGAAGGACCAUUUUCAUUCUUCAUCGUUUUAUGCCUUUUAAUGGGUGAAUGCUUUUGUUACCCACUUAAUUGUGAGUUGGUUGAUUUUGGGUUACCCUUUACCUUUUUAAUCUCUGUCGGGUCAAAUAAAAAACCUAGAUAUGAAGUAAACAGGUCAAAUGGAUUGAAAAUCACCUAAAAUAUAUUAAAGCAUGCAAUCUCUAUCUAUUAGUUUACUUAGAAGGUGAAUAUAGACAUGUUUUGGUAGCCUUCCCACCAGCUAAUGUCAAGUGUAGUUCUUAUUUUCAAGAAAUUAACCGGUGAAUGCUGAGUUUUGAAUAUUAUUUUAUUUUCAUUGUAGUUUGAAUUGACUAUUCAUGCAAUAAAGGUCGUGUUUUUUGUUGCUUACAGGGUAAUACCAACGGUUCUAGGAACAAAACCAGAAUUACUCUGACAAUUUAUGUGUUCUUUUGAACGAAGAUAGAAUCUUGAUUAUAAAAAAGAACUCCAAAUCUAAUGAAUCUGUUUGGUUUCUUGAGGUAAUAGUAUUCACAUUUAUUGAUCUUGAAAUGAUAGCGUUCGUUAGGUUUUAUUAGGUGGACACACAAUUUAGACGAGACCAAAAAAGUUUGAAACAAAAGUUGUUGCUUGGAGUGAGGGGUUAUUGGUAAUGCUGAGCGGCCCAUAGUAAUUAGUAGCCCGUGUAUGUCGGGUUUGUAAUAUGUCAAAAACGUUUUGUCAAGUGAUGGUUUGAUUUGAAUUCACUAAAUUUUAUGGUUUGCAAGUAUAUC
This 1673-nucleotide long non-coding RNA is filed under the name Helianthus annuus (common sunflower). RNAcentral describes it as "hypothetical non coding rna". Lineage: Eukaryota; Viridiplantae; Streptophyta; Magnoliopsida; Asterales; Asteraceae. The record is from RNAcentral.